This is a long non-coding RNA of Scaptodrosophila lebanonensis, 876 nucleotides long. RefSeq lists it as uncharacterized. NCBI's taxonomy places the organism in Eukaryota, Metazoa, Arthropoda, Insecta, Diptera, Drosophilidae. The transcript has 3 exons. The record is from RefSeq and is a predicted model, not a curated record.
AUAUGUGGAAAUAUGUUUAUUGUGUAAUGUGCAUGUAUAUAAAGUGCAUGUAUAUAAGCAUAUGUGGAAAUAUGUCUAUUGUGUGACGGACCAUGCAAAAACUAUGUGGUGUGAAUUGUGCAUUAGGAACGUGCAGGUAAAACAGGUGUGUUUCCCACUGGACACUUGUUGCAUAUGGGAAAGAAUAUGCGCAAGUAUGCCAAGAUGCAAACGCAAACGGACGGAGUUCGGGUUGAACCUGCUAAUUGUUGCACUUCACUUUUCGUUUAAGCGGACCAGCGCGGUACCGGCGUUAGACGAGAUGAGGCCCUUGGAUAAGGGACGGACAGCGGGAUGCUGUUCCGUUGUGGGGGUCGGCGGACAGACCGACAGUGAACAAAUAUGGCGUAUCCAACGCCAGGAACAAGCUGGGGCGAACGGUCGUAGGCUGCACAGGACUUGGAAGGAACAGGAGGUGCACCUGAAGAUCCGGCUCGAAGGACAAUGUUGGCGUGGGGCGUUGGGGGUGAAAGUCCAAAAACCGCAAGGGAAGUAAAAUGGCGUCUGCUUUCCUUUUCACUGUGACGUGACUCGCACUGGCGCUUAGCUGCCCAUAUGAAAGAGGGAGAGGCCGCCGACGCUAGCAGCGCUCUGCCAGCAGAUGUUGCUGGCAAGCGUUGCCAUGUCAACACUGGCAGAGUGCUGCCACAUCAACACUUGCUUUGGUUUUUCUCCUGCUCCGGGACUUUUAUCACCCCAUCUCACCCCAUAAAUGGACUCUACUCCAGAUUCAUAUUCAAAUUUUAAAUUUUAUUACAAUAAAACAAGUAAAAAAGCUAAAGUCGGGUGUCCCGACUUUGAAAUACUCUGUACAUAUGUUUACAAUAAUUAUAGAAA